CCUACGGGUGGCAGCAGUCGAGAAUCAUUCACAAUGAGGGAAACCCUGAUGGUGCGACGCCGCGUGGGGGAUUGAAGGUCUUCGGAUUUUAAACGCCUGUCAUGGGGGAGCACAUUAAAAAGAUAGUACCACAAGAGGAAGAGACGGCUAACUCUGUAACAGAUGGCUAGGUAAUACAGAGGUCUCAAGGCGUGUUCGGGAUCUCUGGGCCUAAAGCGGGCCUUGGGUGUUUCGUUAGUCGUGUGUUAAAGGUUCGGGCUGCACCCCCGGACGGCUCAUGAUACUGCGAGACUAGAGUAAUGGAGAGGGAACCGGAAUUCUAGGUGAAGCAGUGAAAUGCGUAGAUAUCGAGAGGAACAC
This 360-nucleotide ribosomal RNA is filed under the name uncultured bacterium. RNAcentral's name for it is "partial 16S ribosomal RNA". It matches the Rfam family "Bacterial small subunit ribosomal RNA", at positions 338 to 709 of the family's 1533-position model. The record is from RNAcentral.